GCAUUAAGCAUAUCAAUAAGCGGAGGAAAAGAAACCAACAGGGAUUGCCCCAGUAACGGCGAGUGAAGCGGCAACAGCUCAAAUUUGAAAUCUGGAGCCCCCCGCGGGCGCCCGAGUUGUAAUUUGCAGAGGAUGCUUCUGGCGCGGCGCCUUCCGAGUUCCCUGGAACGGGACGCCAUAGAGGGUGAGAGCCCCGUCUGGUCGGACGCCAAGCCUGUGUGAAGCUCCUUCGACGAGUCGAGUAGUUUGGGAAUGCUGCUCUAAAUGGGAGGUAUAUGUCUUCUAAAGCUAAAUACCGGCCAGAGACCGAUAGCGCACAAGUAGAGUGAUCGAAAGAUGAAAAGCACUUUGAAAAGAGGGUUAAACAGUACGUGAAAUUGUUGAAAGGGAAGCGCUCGUGACCAGACUCGGCCCCGGCGGAUCAUCCGGCGUUCUUCGCCGGUGCACUCCGCCGGGCGCCGGGCCAGCAUCGGUUCGCGGCGGGGGAUAAAGGCGUCGGGAACGUGGCUCCCCCGGGAGUGUUAUAGCCCGGCGCGCAAUGCCCCGCGGCGGACCGAGGUUCGCGCAUUCGCAAGGAUGCUGGCGUAAUGGUUACCAGUGACCCGUCUUGAAACACGGACCAAGGAGUCGUCCUCGUAUGCGAGUGUUCGGGUGUCAAACCCCUACGCGCAAUGAAAGUGAACGCAGGUGAGAGCCUCGGCGCAUCAUCGACCGAUCCUGAUGUUCUCGGAUGGAUUUGAGUAAGAGCAUACGGGGCCGGACCCGAAAGAAGGUGAACUAUGCCUGUGUAGGGUGAAGCCAGAGGAAACUCUGGUGGAGGCUCGCAGCGGUUCUGACGUGCAAAUCGAUCGUCAAACAUGGGCAUGGGGGCGAAAGACUAAUCGAACCUUCUAGUAGCUGGUUUCCGCCGAAUG
Molecule: ribosomal RNA, 914 nt
Filed under: Hirsutella citriformis
Lineage: Eukaryota; Fungi; Ascomycota; Sordariomycetes; Hypocreales; Ophiocordycipitaceae
Description: eukaryotic LSU rRNA
Rfam family: Eukaryotic large subunit ribosomal RNA
Source: RNAcentral